RNAcentral lists this ribosomal RNA (305 nucleotides) under uncultured bacterium. RNAcentral's name for it is "bacterial SSU rRNA". It matches the Rfam family "Bacterial small subunit ribosomal RNA", at positions 335 to 654 of the family's 1533-position model. The record is from RNAcentral.
UGUCCUACGGGGGGCAGCAGUGGGGAAUAUUGGACAAUGGGGGGAACCCUGAUCCAGCGACGCCGCGUGAGUGAAGAAGUAUUUCGGUAUGUAAAGCUCUAUCAGCAGGGAAGAAAGAAAUGACGGUACCUGACUAAGAAGCCCCGGCUAACUACGUGCCAGCAGCCGCGGUAAUACGUAGGGGGCAAGCGUUAUCGGGAUUUACUGGGUGUAAAGGGUGCGCAGGUGGCAGGGCAAGUCAGAUGUGAAAGCCCGGGGCUCAACCCCGGUACUGCAUUUGAAACUGUCCAGCUGGAGUGCAGGAG